GUGAAUCAUCGAAUUUUUGAACGCAUAUUGCACUAUCUGGUAUUCCGUAGAGUAUGCCUAUUUGAGGGUCAUUUGAAAUAAUAUAAAUUUCUAGAUUUUCUUGACAUCAAAAAUGGUUCAGUCCAGCUUUCGUGUGGUGGUCGCCUAAAAUGCAAGACAAGCUCAUUUCUUGGGUAGCGUGAUACUUACAGCUACCUCGUGACUUCACAAGAAAACUUCGAGCGUGUUAAGAAUUGUUCAAGAAAUAAACUUCACUUAUCUCCAGCUUAAUAUUAAAUUGAAGCAUGACCCCAACUUAGGU
This 301-nucleotide unclassified non-coding RNA is filed under the name Archaeospora sp. Its description in RNAcentral is "partial contains 5.8S ribosomal RNA and internal transcribed spacer 2". The stretch from base 1 to 71 matches the Rfam family "5.8S ribosomal RNA", at positions 84 to 154 of the family's 154-position model. Lineage: Eukaryota; Fungi; Glomeromycota; Glomeromycetes; Archaeosporales; Archaeosporaceae. The record is from RNAcentral.